CCGGCGAGUUGUCCGGGAAUUGGUGUAGGGCGAAAAUAAUGGUGGUUCUGGAAUGGAAACCUUUUGGAUCCACCCAAAGUGAGGUCGACAGGAGAGGAGUUAAUCACCGUCAGCGAGUUAUCAUUGCCGGCUGAUUCGACGGUGCUGCUCUGGCUAGGACUCCGGCUCUGGAUAUUUUUCUUGCUAACAAAAAGAUCGUUGCUUUUCUUGAGAUUCUCAGCAUUCGUGUUCAGAUCCAGAGAGGGAAAAUUGGUCUUUGCCUUGGCGCCACGGAAUCGCCUAGCGGCGGUGUCGUAGGCUCUGGCAGCCUCCUCCGCCGUGUCAAAGGUACCCAGCCACACGCGACUCUUUUUCCCAGGAUCCCUUAUCUCCGCCGCAUAUCUUCCCCACGGUCUUUUCCUCAC
Molecule: long non-coding RNA, 404 nt
Filed under: Olea europaea (common olive)
Lineage: Eukaryota; Viridiplantae; Streptophyta; Magnoliopsida; Lamiales; Oleaceae
Description: long non-coding RNA (OEUR_LNC011349)
Source: RNAcentral